GUAUUAAUUGCGUGUGAUCGCAAAAGAAAAACAUUCUACACUGUAUCGAGUUUGUGUGAAAACGCAAGCCCCCUUCCUGGAUCGAAUCGAUCCCGAAGGGUGCCCACGCGGUGGUGCACAAGAGGGUGAGAUGGAUUUUAUGCGGGAGGACACGCUCUGGCGUGCACGACUUUAAAAAGUCAGCGACAGCCCUCGCAUGCCCUCACACAUUUUGUACGAUAAUGAUCCUUCCGCAGGUUCACCUACGGAAA
Molecule: unclassified non-coding RNA, 251 nt
Filed under: uncultured fungus
Lineage: Eukaryota; Fungi
Description: sequence contains ITS1
Source: RNAcentral